Molecule: ribosomal RNA, 500 nt
Filed under: uncultured bacterium
Lineage: Bacteria
Description: partial 16S ribosomal RNA
Rfam family: Bacterial small subunit ribosomal RNA
Source: RNAcentral
AUUGAACGCUGGCGGCAUGCCUUACACAUGCAAGUCGAACGGCAGCACGGGAGCAAUCCUGGUGGCGAGUGGCGGACGGGUGAGUAAAGUAUCGGAACGUGCCCAGUCGUGGGGGAUAACGUAGCGAAAGUUACGCUAAUACCGCAUACGACCUAUGGAUGAAAGCGGGGGAUCGCAAGACCUCGCGCGAUUGGAGCGGCCGAUAUCAGAUUAGGUAGUUGGUGGGGUAAAGGCUCACCAAGCCGACGAUCUGUAGCUGGUCUGAGAGGACGACCAGCCACACUGGGACUGAGACACGGCCCAGACUCCUACGGGAGGCAGCAGUGGGGAAUUUUGGACAAUGGGCGCAAGCCUGAUCCAGCCAUGCCGCGUGCAGGAUGAAGGCCUUCGGGUUGUAAACUGCUUUUGUACGGAACGAAAAGGUUUGACUUAAUACGUUGGACUCAUGACGGUACCGUAAGAAUAAGCACCGGCUAACUACGUGCCAGCCGCCGCGGUAA